RNAcentral lists this unclassified non-coding RNA (346 nucleotides) under soil metagenome. Its description in RNAcentral is "partial contains 5.8S ribosomal RNA, internal transcribed spacer 2, and large subunit ribosomal RNA". The stretch from base 1 to 119 matches the Rfam family "5.8S ribosomal RNA", at positions 35 to 154 of the family's 154-position model. The record is from RNAcentral.
GAUGAAGAACGCAGCGAAAUGCGAUACGUAAUGUGAAUUGCAAAUUCAGUGAAUCAUCGAGUCUUUGAACGCACAUUGCGCCCCCUGGUAUUCCGGGGGGCAUGCCUGUCCGAGCGUCAUUGCUGCCCUCAAGCACGGCUUGUGUGUUGGGCCCCGUCCCCCGAUCCCGGGGGACGGGCCCGAAAGGCAGCGGCGGCACCGCGUCCGGUCCUCGAGCGUAUGGGGCUUUGUCACCCGCUCUGUAGGCCCGGCCGGCGCUUGCCGAUCAACCCAAAUUUUUUAUCCAGGUUGACCUCGGAUCAGGUAGGGAUACCCGCUGAACUUAAGCAUAUCAAUAAGCGGAGGA